UUCGGCCUGGUGGCGAGUGGCGAACGGGUGAGUAAUGCGUCGGAACGCGCCGAGUAGUGGGGGAUAACGCGGCGAAAGCUGUGCUAAUACCGCAUACGUACUGAGGUAGAAAGUGGGGGACCUUCGGGCCUCACGCUAUUCGAGCGGCCGACGUCUGAUUAGCUAGUUGGUGGGGUAAAGGCUCACCAAGGCGACGAUCAGUAGCGGGUCUGAGAGGAUGAUCCGCCACACUGGGACUGAGACACGGCCCAGACUCCUACGGGAGGCAGCAGUGGGGAAUUUUGGACAAUGGGCGCAAGCCUGAUCCAGCCAUGCCGCGUGUCUGAAGAAGGCCUU
RNAcentral lists this ribosomal RNA (336 nucleotides) under uncultured bacterium. Its description in RNAcentral is "bacterial SSU rRNA". It matches the Rfam family "Bacterial small subunit ribosomal RNA", at positions 79 to 418 of the family's 1533-position model. The record is from RNAcentral.